RNAcentral lists this ribosomal RNA (497 nucleotides) under uncultured bacterium. Its description in RNAcentral is "partial 16S ribosomal RNA". It matches the Rfam family "Bacterial small subunit ribosomal RNA", at positions 28 to 507 of the family's 1533-position model. The record is from RNAcentral.
GAUGAACGCUGGCGGCGUGCCUAAUACAUGCAAGUCGAGCGAACAGACGAGGAGCUUGCUCCUCUGACGUUAGCGGCGGACGGGUGAGUAACACGUGGAUAACCUACCUAUAAGACUGGGAUAACUUCGGGAAACCGGAGCUAAUACCGGAUAACAUGUUGAACCGCAUGGUUCAACAGUGAAAGACGGUCUUGCUGUCACUUAUAGAUGGAUCCGCGCCGCAUUAGCUAGUUGGUAAGGUAACGGCUUACCAAGGCAACGAUGCGUAGCCGACCUGAGAGGGUGAUCGGCCACACUGGAACUGAGACACGGUCCAGACUCCUACGGGAGGCAGCAGUAGGGAAUCUUCCGCAAUGGGCGAAAGCCUGACGGAGCAACGCCGCGUGAGUGAAGAAGGUCUUCGGAUCGUAAAACUCUGUUAUUAGGGAAGAACAAAUGUGUAAGUAACUAUGCACGUCUUGACGGUACCUAACCAGAAAGCCACGGCUAACUACGUG